Non-coding RNA from Pelobates cultripes (western spadefoot toad), 1189 nucleotides. The record is from the annotation of a GenBank genome assembly. NCBI's taxonomy places the organism in Eukaryota, Metazoa, Chordata, Amphibia, Anura, Pelobatidae.
AGACAGAGCAAAAUGAUUACCUGCACAUCCUCUUUUGAUUUAUGUCUUGAAACAGAAACAUAGAAUCUGACGGCAGAUAAGAACCAUUCGGCCCAUCAAGUCUGCCCGAUUUUCUAAAUACUUUCAUUAGUCCCUGGCCUGAUCUUAUAACUAGGAUACCCACUGUGUUAACCUAUACCACCUCAUCCACUACCCUCUCAGUAAAGUAAUACUUCCUGGUAUUAUUUUUAAACCUUUGCCCCUCUAAUUUAAGAUGAUGUCCUCUUGUGGUCGUUUUUCUUCUUUUAAAUAUAGUCUCCUCCUUUACUGUGUUGAUUCUCUUUAUGUAUUUAAAUGUUUCUAUCAUAUCCCCCUGUCUCGUCUUUCCUCCAAGCUAUGCGUGUUAAGAUCCUUUAACCUUUCCUUGUAAGUUUUAUCCUGUAAUCCAUGAACCAGUUUAGUAGCCCUUCUCUGAACUCUCUCCAAAGUAUCAAUAUCAUUCUGGAGAUACGUUUUCCAGUACUGCGUACAAUACUCCAAGUGAGGUCUCACCAGUGUUCAGUAUAACGGCAUGAGCACUUCCCUCUUUCUACUGCUAAUACCUCUAACUAUACAACCAAGCAUUCUGCUAGCAUUUCCUGCUGCUCUAUUACAUUGUCUGCCUACCUUCAAGUCAUCUGAAAUAAUUACUGUUAAGACACCCCCAGUGUCUUUAAAUGAAGCCGCUGUUUAGUCGACCUUCCCCUGAUGCAGUACCAAUAAUCUCCAUUCGCAUAACCGUAGUGCACAAACCAAACUCAGGGGAAGCGGCAAUCUCCCGACCGGGAUCAGUGAAAGGCUCCAACAUCCCGAACGGAACUCCACGAACAGCUGCUAGCCGCCGAACAAUAAUAUCCACCAAGCGGCUUUCGGAUCCAUCCAGCAGUCUCUAAACGCAAAUAAUAAAUCCCCCCCAAUAACGAGACAGAAGCUCCGCAUUGAGGGUUAGACAGGAUCUGGGUUUACUGUGGGCUACCUGCCCGUAUUUAUGCAGGUCUCCCACUUGGUGGACACUCCCCUAGGGGACCAAAUGGGAGACUUAAAUGACAGACAGAUAUGGGGACAUUCCAGACACACAGUCACAGUUUUUACCCACAAUGCACUAUGUUUCCCUCCCCUCUGCCCUGGAGAUAAUUACCAAGUAACUCAAUUAUCUCCAGGACAAAGCCAG